GAUGAACGCUAGCUACAGGCUUAACACAUGCAAGUCGAGGGGAAACGGCAUUGAGUGCUUGCACUCUUUGGACGUCGACCGGCGCACGGGUGAGUAACGCGUAUCCAACCUUCCCAUGACUAAGGGAUAACCUGCCGAAAGGCAGACUAAUACCUUAUGGUCUUCACUGACGGCAUCAGAUGUGAAGUAAAGAUUUAUCGGUUAUGGAUGGGGAUGCGUCUGAUUAGUUAGUUGGCGGGGUAACGGCCCACCAAGGCAACGAUCAGUAGGGGUUCUGAGAGGAAGGUCCCCCACAUUGGAACUGAGACACGGUCCAAACUCCUACGGGAGGCAGCAGUGAGGAAUAUUGGUCAAUGGGCGAGAGCCUGAACCAGCCAAGUAGCGUGCAGGACGACGGCCCUAUGGGUUGUAAACUGCUUUUGUAUGGGGAUAAAGUCAAUCACGUGUGAUUGUUUGCAGGUACCAUACGAAUAAGGACCGGCUAAUUCCGUGCCAGCAGCCGCGGUAAUACGGAAGGUCCGGGCGUUAUCCGGAUUUAUUGGGUUUAAAGGGAGCGUAGGCUGGAGAUUAAGUGUGUUGUGAAAUGUAGACGCUCAACGUCUGACUUGCAGCGCAUGCUGGUUUCCUUGAGUACGCACAACGUUGGCGGAAUUCGUCGUGUAGCGGUGAAAUGCUUAGAUAUGACGAAGAACUCCGAUUGCGAAGGCAGCUGACGGGAGCGCAACUGACGCUGAAGCUCGAAGGUGCGGGUAUCGAACAGG
RNAcentral lists this ribosomal RNA (761 nucleotides) under Prevotella melaninogenica. Its description in RNAcentral is "bacterial SSU rRNA". It matches the Rfam family "Bacterial small subunit ribosomal RNA", at positions 28 to 776 of the family's 1533-position model. Lineage: Bacteria; Pseudomonadati; Bacteroidota; Bacteroidia; Bacteroidales; Prevotellaceae. The record is from RNAcentral.